Molecule: transfer RNA, 83 nt
Organism: Oryctolagus cuniculus (rabbit)
Lineage: Eukaryota; Metazoa; Chordata; Mammalia; Lagomorpha; Leporidae
Rfam family: tRNA
About the family: Transfer RNA (tRNA) molecules are approximately 80 nucleotides in length. Their secondary structure includes four short double-helical elements and three loops (D, anti-codon, and T loops).
Source: Rfam
GGCGCUGUGGCUCAGCAGGUUAAAGCCCUGGCCUGCAGAGCCAGCAUCCCAUAUGGGCACCGGUUCCAGUCCCGGCUGCUCCA